AUGAACACUGACCUUGGAUGAAAGACACGAAGGAAGGAAAGACGCACCAUUGUGAGUAUACGGUUGUGGAAAAAGGGUGUUGGUGGCUGAAAACCACCCUGUCUAUGCAUCUGGAGCCUUAGCAGUGUGAGAUCAACCUUGGAGAACGUGGGACGAAGAAAGUGCAGCAGUUGUGAGUAACGGAGUCUCCUUAUGGAAGUGUUGUGCAUGUAUUUGACCUGUAUAUCUCUUUGAGUGUUUCCGAAAGAGAGUGGGUGGCCCUACCCCUGAAUCAGCGCGGUGGGUGAGCCGAAGAGUUUUUGUGCUGAAACAGCUCCGGUGACGAAAACGAACACUAGGCCGAGUUACCAUCUCCAUAUUUUCGUCCAGAGCGAAGUAAAGGAAGACGGGCGUCUAUUUGUGUGCACUGAGCGUGGAGGGUGAGUCUUGGAUAUAGAAAUGUUCACUUGAAGUGGUGCUGUGUAAUGUUGUGUAUUGCAGUGAGAUUGCUGUUGUCUUGUCUGACGUACCCCCGCCUCUAGUCACUCGUUCCUGAGACGACGAAGAGGAAGAACGGUCCUAGAGUAAGACCUGUACAUGAAUAUGCUGUGAGUGUGUUUCAGUUUUAAAAAUCACGGAGCGGCAUCUCGAAGUAUUUUCCCAGCCAAACGCUUGGCGGACUUGAGUUUAGGAGUGGCGGUGAAGAACUGUGCUAUCGACGGCGUGUGAGUAUUACCUAUAAUAUUGCUACCUUACCUGUGUCUUUUCAUCAUCACAGAGCUUGAGGCGAAGGAGAUCCGUCGGCCCGAGGUCUCGACGAAAGGGCGCCCCGGUCCAGUUUUCGAUUGACCAACGGGUCUCGAGGAAAGGGCAGCGCUCGACCCGGUGUGCCGGCGUGACGUUCUCGCCCCUCUGUAGACCAACGAGCUCGCCGAGAGGGUUUUGGCCCCCGGCGACACAGAGGAAACCACUGUCCAGUUGACGCAACGUGUAGGCCGCUAUCUCAUCUGUGGAGAGAAAGAGCCAGCGUGAACGCUGAGAUAUCGAAUUGUGAAGAGAGCCAUACCUACCCAAAGCUGUAGUCAGCGCAGAGGUGAGAGAACCAUUGGAAACCGAUUCAUUGUGCCUUUGUGUCCCAGCAGUCAUCUGUGGAGAGAAAGAGCCAGCGUGAACGCUGAGAUAUCGAACUGUGAAGAGAGCCAUAUCUACCCAAAGCUGUAGUCAGCGCAGAGGUGAGAGAACCAUUGGAAACCGAUUCAUUGUGCCUUUGUGUCCCAGCAGUCAUCUGUGGAGAGAGAAAAGGAGAGCCAACGUGAACAUGGAGAUAUUGAGCUGUGGAGGAGAGCCUGGAGUGGCUGUUAUUUUAAGUUCCCCUUUCCCCUUCCCUAUUUAAUAUUUUUAAGUAAUUUAAUAAAGUAUAUUUUAAUUUUA
Molecule: non-coding RNA, 1410 nt
Organism: Paramisgurnus dabryanus
Lineage: Eukaryota; Metazoa; Chordata; Actinopteri; Cypriniformes; Cobitidae
Source: RefSeq, a predicted model, not a curated record